This 64-nucleotide transfer RNA is filed under the name Electrona antarctica. RNAcentral's name for it is "tRNA-Trp". The record is from RNAcentral. Lineage: Eukaryota; Metazoa; Chordata; Actinopteri; Myctophiformes; Myctophidae.
GGGGCCUAAUGCUAGGCCCCGAGCCCUUAAAACCCUAAGUGAUGUAAAACAUCCAAGCCUCUAA